RNAcentral lists this ribosomal RNA (517 nucleotides) under uncultured bacterium. RNAcentral's name for it is "bacterial SSU rRNA". It matches the Rfam family "Bacterial small subunit ribosomal RNA", at positions 8 to 507 of the family's 1533-position model. The record is from RNAcentral.
AGAGUUUGAUCAUGGCUCAGGAUGAACGCUGGCGGCGUGCCUAAUACAUGCAAGUCGAGCGAACAGACGAGGAGCUUGCUCCUUUGACGUUAGCGGCGGACGGGUGAGUAACACGUGGGUAACCUACCUAUAAGACUGGGAUAACUUCGGGAAACCGGAGCUAAUACCGGAUAAUAUUUCGAACUGCAUGGUUCGAUAGUGAAAGAUGGCUUUGCUAUCACUUAUAGAUGGACCUGCGCCGUAUUAGCUAGUUGGUAAGGUAACGGCUUACCAAGGCAACGAUACGUAGCCGACCUGAGAGGGUGAUCGGCCACACUGGAACUGAGACACGGCCCAGACUCCUACGGGAGGCAGCAGUAGGGAAUCUUCCGCAAUGGGCGAAAGCCUGACGGAGCAACGCCGCGUGAGUGAUGAAGGUCUUCGGAUCGUAAAACUCUGUUAUUAGGGAAGAACAAACGUGUAAGUAACUGUGCACGUCUUGACGGUACCUAAUCAGAAAGCCACGGCUAACUACGUG